UACGGAGAGUGCAAGCGUUAAUCGGAAUUACUGGGCGUAAAGCGCACGCAGGCGGUCAAUUAAGUUGGAUGUGAAAUCCCCGGGCUUAACCUGGGAACUGCAUUCAAGACUGGUUGGCUAGAGUCGAGUAGAGGGGGGGGUAGAAUUCCAUGUGUAGCGGUGAAAUGCGUAGAGAUGUGGAGGAAUACCGGUGGCGAAGGCGGCCCCCUGGACGAAGACUGACGCUCAGGUGCGAAAGCGUGGGGAGCAAACAGG
RNAcentral lists this ribosomal RNA (255 nucleotides) under uncultured bacterium. Its description in RNAcentral is "partial 16S ribosomal RNA". It matches the Rfam family "Bacterial small subunit ribosomal RNA", at positions 524 to 776 of the family's 1533-position model. The record is from RNAcentral.